UAUAUAUUUCACAUGCACAGGAAAUAGUUUACCCCUAUUCAGGCAUAGUUCUGACAAUACAGUCUGUCUACCACCACUUGGGUUCUGUUUUGAUCAGGAAAGCACAGAGGAAGGUUGUUUUGUUGGUUGAGAAGUAUUAUUGAUGCUUUUCAGGAAUUGGCUUACUUUUUGUUUCCCAGUAUUUGUUGUACGUAUAUCAUUGAAAUCGAGAGACUCGCAAAAGAUAACCAAAUAUGGCUGCCGUGCAGACGACAACAACAGCAACCAGUUCUCUUAUUCUUUCAAUCAUUCUUAUUAUCACACUGAUAUCACUAAACAUCGAUGCGAAGGAACUCGGCAAUGAUUGUGAAGUUAAAAUCCCUCCCAAUAUCGGUGAGAUUUUAUCUCGUUUAG
Long non-coding RNA from Octopus sinensis (East Asian common octopus), 393 nucleotides. RefSeq lists it as uncharacterized. The transcript has 2 exons. The record is from RefSeq and is a predicted model, not a curated record. Lineage: Eukaryota; Metazoa; Mollusca; Cephalopoda; Octopoda; Octopodidae.